CCUACGGGAGGCUGCAGUGAGGAAUAUUGGUCAAUGGACGAGAGUCUGAACCAGCCAAGUAGCGUGAAGGAUGACUGCCCUAUGGGUUGUAAACUUCUUUUAUAUGGGAAUAAAAUGUUCCACGUGUGGGAUUUUGUAUGUACCAUAUGAAUAAGGAUCGGCUAAUUCCGUGCCAGCAGCCGCGGUAAUACGGAGGACCCGAGCGUUAUCCGGAUUUAUUGGGCUUAAAGGGAGCGUAGGUGGAUUGUUAAGUCAGGUGUGAAAGUUUGCGGCUCAACCGUAGAAUUGCAGUUGAAACUGGAAGUCUUGAGUACAGUAGAGGUGGGCGGAAUUCGUGGUGUAGCGGUGAAAUGCUUAGAUAUCACGAGGAACUCCGAUUGCGAAGGCAGUUCGCUGGACUGCGACUGACGCUGAGGCUCGAAGGUGUGGGUAUCAAACAGGAUUAGAUACCCGAGUAGUC
Molecule: ribosomal RNA, 460 nt
Filed under: uncultured bacterium
Lineage: Bacteria
Description: partial 16S ribosomal RNA
Rfam family: Bacterial small subunit ribosomal RNA
Source: RNAcentral